UCCCCCCUUUUUCCCUUUAUUUUCCUUUUUCCCCCCUUUUUUCCCCCUUUUUUUUCCUUUAUUUUUUCCUUUAUUUUUCCUUUAUUUUUCCCUUUAUUUUCCCCCUUAUUUUCCCCCUUUAUUUCCCCCAUUUCCCUGACUGUGUCCGUCCGUCUGUCCGUCCCUUUUUCCCUCCUUUCCCCCCCUUUUUUCCCCCCUUUUUUUCCCUUUAUUUUUCCUUUCUUUUCCCCCUUUUUCCCCCCCUUUUUCCCCCCUUUUUUUCCUUUAUUUCCCCCAUUUCCCUGACUCUGUCCGUGUGUCCGUCCGUCCCUUUUUCCCUCCUUUCCCCCCCUUUUUUCCCCCCUUUUUUCCCUUUAUUUUUCCUUUCUUUUCCCCCUCUUUCCCCCCUUUUUCCCCCUUUUUUUCCUUUAUUUCCCCAUUUCCCUGACUGUGUCCGUCCGUCCCUUUUUCCCUCCUUUCCCCCCCUUUUUUUCCUUUUUUCCCCCCUUUUUUUCCCUUUAUUUUUCCUUUCUUUCCUCCCUCUUUCCCCCCCCUUUUUCCCCCUUUUUUUUCCCUUUAUUUCCCCAUUUCCCUGACUGUGUCCGUCCGUCUGUCCGUCCCUUUUUCCCUCCUUUCCCCCCCUUUUUCCCCCCUUUUUCCCCCCUUUUUUUCCCUUUAUUUUUCCUUUCUUUUCCCCCUAUUUUCCCCCCUUUUUCCCUCUUUUUUUCCUUUAUUUCCCCAUUUCCCUGACUCUGUCCGUGUGUCCGUCCGUCCCUUUUUCCCUCCUUUCCCCCCCCUUUUUCCCCCCUUUUUUCCCUUUUUUUUCCUUUCUUUUCCCCCUAUUUUCCCCCCUUUUUCCCUUUAUUUUCCCCCUUUAUUCCCCCUUUAUUUCCCUGACGGUGUCCGUGUGUCCGUCUGUCCGCAGGGGUCUGUGAGUGUUUCCAGCCGGCCACGGCCGCGGGGUUCAGGGUGGUGGCGCACACGGUGCCCGAGCUGCCCAACGCGGGGCUGCAGCGCCACCUCGAGCAGUUCUCGCUUUGAACUCCCCAGGUGCUGCUGAGGGAGCACAAGCUGCGCUCGUACUCGCUCAACGCCGUCAGCGCCCAUUUCCUGCACGAGCAGAAGGAGGAGGUUCCCCACGGCAUCAUCACCGAGCUGCAGGUACAUCAGUCUGAGGAACACACACAAUGUGACCUACAGAGGAAGCAUCCUUAAAGGAAUGACCACAAUUCUGGAAGACAGAAUGUUUACUGAUCAUAGCUCCAGUCCAGGGUGCAAUGAGAUCUCCAAAUUCUUCCUUACUUUUCCCAUGGGAUCAGCUGUGCUGGCACUCCAUAGUCACCUGAACUUUAAUGCUGUGCUACUCAUUAGGAUAACACAGUAGUUAAUUAUUAGGUAUAGUCAUUGAUUGAUUAAUCAGUUCAAAUAGAAUCUAUUAAAGACAAAUAACAUCAAACUGUGGAGUUUGUACUUACUCUCUGUGAUGAAUAAAAACAGAAUCCCCACAGCUCUAAUUUAUGGAAACUGCCUCUGAUUGACAGAGUCUAUACUCCUCUCACAACUAAUUUUCCCCCAAUGAUUCUCAAAAAGUAUUUUCUUUCUUUACAAUAAAAUAUUUUCAUAAUACAA
Molecule: long non-coding RNA, 1608 nt
Organism: Zonotrichia leucophrys gambelii
Lineage: Eukaryota; Metazoa; Chordata; Aves; Passeriformes; Passerellidae
Exons: 4
Source: RefSeq, a predicted model, not a curated record